GAGCAAGUGUGGUGUAGUGAUUUGAGCACUAGAUUAUAACUCUGGAGAUUAGGGUUUGAUUCCCUGCUUGGCCA
Molecule: non-coding RNA, 74 nt
Organism: Phrynosoma platyrhinos (Desert horned lizard)
Lineage: Eukaryota; Metazoa; Chordata; Lepidosauria; Squamata; Phrynosomatidae
Source: the annotation of a GenBank genome assembly